UACACGACGUGUGAGGACACGCCCUAUUGAUUGAUUGUUUUUCUUGCAGCCCCGGAAAAUGAACCUUGGCCUGGAAUUGGCCCAAAAACCUCCAUAUAUUUUACCAAGAACUGAAUGUGCCAAGCUUGCUAGUAAGAGAAAGAAAGAAAAGAGGAAGGAAGAGAAAAGAAAAGAAAGAAGGAAAAGAGAAACACUGGGUUAAUGUAGUUAUGAACAGGUGACCAUGUCAAGAGUGCAUGACAAACAGACUGAGGACCAGGCAUCAUCAGAUAGCUCUACAGUCCUAAUGAUCUCAACCACCUCGGGAGGAUGCAGAAGUCUCAGCUGCUGAGCAGUAAAAGCGUUCAACACCCCGGGAGGGCUUCCAUUUCCAAGGUGACCGAGCGAAAACCCAGGCCCGCGCAGCCGCCACGCGCGCAGCCGCGCACCUGUCCGCAGCCGACGCACCGGCAGCCGCAGGUUUCCCAGCGCUGUCAAUCACUGCAGGUGAAUUGCCCUGCGCGGGCGCGGUGUAACCUUCCUCUUCCUUGUCCGAGCUCAGCUUCCGAGCACCAGGCCCGGCGGAGAAACCUCGGGACCCACGGCACAGGCGGGCGCAGACACACAGACCGGGUCGCAACGUGAGAAUUGCAGGUGGAGGGGGGCCAGCCGAGCCAACUGCACCUGAGCUGGGAUCAGAACCAUGGUGGAGGCCUGCGGUUUAGGAAAACAAGAGUGAGUUUUGAAUAUUGUUCACUCUCGAAGACGGUGAUGUGUCACAGUGCCCAGGUGUGAAGAUCCAGGGAGCAGCACAUGUUCCCUGUGGUCAGCCGCUGUCCAGGAGGGGAUGACCCCCUUUCUGCCAUGUCAUCAGAAGGCCCGUUGCAGCCUGGUGCUGCAUCACGAUGCCUGUGUCGUUCUCCCCUCUUCCUCUCAUCACACAGGCAUUUUAUCUUCUCACAUCAUCACCAGAAGAAGGUCACUUGGAAAAUCUGAAAAUCAGUGAACCACUCAUCUGCAUAAUUUCCAGGACACCUUCCAUCUCUACAAUUCGAUGUGUGUGUGUGACCCAAAGUAAUACAGCAG
Long non-coding RNA from Manis javanica (Malayan pangolin), 1065 nucleotides. RefSeq lists it as uncharacterized. The record is from RefSeq and is a predicted model, not a curated record. NCBI's taxonomy places the organism in Eukaryota, Metazoa, Chordata, Mammalia, Pholidota, Manidae.